Molecule: long non-coding RNA, 723 nt
Filed under: Homo sapiens (human)
Lineage: Eukaryota; Metazoa; Chordata; Mammalia; Primates; Hominidae
Description: HSALNT0310674
Source: RNAcentral
GUGGCCAACAACUAAUAAGACAGAGUUUUGGCCAACAUGGCUCUUAUUUAUCACCUCCUAAGCCAUAACCUGAUUAUCAUAGCUCCAGUUUCCAGCCCCAUACCAGUCUCUUGUCAAUCAGUAUCAGAAGGCCUGCUCUAACUUCUCUUAUGGUUGCUUCAUAGCUGUCUCCAAUCGCUACUGGCUUCUCAGAAAUAUCCCUUUCCAGUUUAACCCAGGGACCGAGACCCAGAGUACUACGUGCCCUCAGAUGUCAUAACUCCUCACUGGGUUUGCAGCAGAUAGAUGAGAGCUGGUGUAAGACUACAAUGAUGAAGAAACUGAAGCAGAGAAAUAAGGAAUUUGUCCAAAUCUCACAGCAAUGUUAGCACAGUUCAGAGGACCAAGAAGCUGAGGGAUAGUGCAAUGUGAGGCAGUACCCUUAAUGAAAGGUGUGCACUUCUAAACAAAAUGGAGGCUCAUGAGCAAAACAUGCGGAGCUGCCCUGGCAAUGAAGUGAAGAGACUUGUAACUUGGUGCCUGAGCCUGUGCUAAAUGAGGGAGGGAACGGAAGGAGUUCAUUUGGAAUCAGAAGACUAAGUGAUAUGUUGUCGGUAAUUAUAUUAUCGCCAUACUCUUGCUUCUUGACGACUAGCUCUCUAUCACCCUCCUUCGACACACAGAAAUCAUGUCCGUUUCCAUCCCGAACCUCAUUUUCCAUGUUAAACUUCCAAAUAAAUAAAC